UAAUACUGCCUGGUAACGA
RNAcentral lists this microRNA (19 nucleotides) under Ovis aries (sheep). RNAcentral's name for it is "microRNA miR-200b". Lineage: Eukaryota; Metazoa; Chordata; Mammalia; Artiodactyla; Bovidae. The record is from RNAcentral.